CCUGCCCUAUCUCUUUAGUCUCAGUAGUUACAGGUGAAUGGAUUUUCAGUAGGGUCCAAUAAAUCAGGACUUGUUCCAUGUAAACUACAGGCAUUGGUAUUUUCAAAUCACUGCCGGCCUUAUAAAAUGGCUGAGGUUCAGUGCUAUUUUGAAGCUUAGCAGCCAGAAAAAUACCAGUGCAACUGCCAAGAAGCUUGCUGCUUCAUGCAGCAAGGAACACAGACCUAAAUGAGAUUUUUCCUUUUUUUUUUUUUUUUUUUUUUCUUGUAGGGAGGCUGCAAGGAAGCAGGGGGUGGGGAAAGGAGCUGCUCACUUGAUUUUCCCUGAAAUACACUGUGGCUGUAGAUUUGAAUCAAUCCAAUGAAUGCUUUACAGGUGGUUUUAAGAAGAUAUAAACAUUGUCCAAUUAAUGGCUUCUUGUUUUCCUCUGUUGAGAUUAGUUCAUCUAUAUAUUUACGAUAUGCCAACAGCAUUUUUUUUGCAGGACAACUCCCUCAAAGUUCUGUUUGUGCAAGUCUGCAUUUUGUUACUUUAUGAUUUGGAACAGACACACUGCAGUGAUGGAUGACCAACUCUUGCCCAGCUAAAGAUUUCUCUGUCUUUCUACAACAUUCAGUGUAUUCACUGCAAUAUGAAGACCCUCCAGGUUCUACAUCAAUCACUCUUUCUUCUCAAUAUCUAUACAAAGGCACUGGGGAAAAUUAUGAGACAUCAUUUAAAGUACCAACAACAUGGAUCACUUUCUGUCCCAAUGGAUGGUAAGUCUCCUACUCUGUAAAAGUUAUCUGCUGUCACCUGUGUCCAAAGUCAGAGUGAAUCCUGCUCAGAUCCAUGGAUAAUGCCACAUGAAGUGUAUAGACCAAGGCCCCAUCCAGCCUGGCCUUGAACACCUCCAGGGAUAGGGCAUCCACAGCUUCUCUGGGCAACCUGUGCCAGUGCCUCACCACCCUCUGAGUAAAGAAUUUAUUCCUUAUAUCUAAUCUAAACCUACCCUGUUUUAGUUUAAGACUAUUCCCCGUCAUCUUGUCAAUAUCUACCCAUGUAAAGAGUCCUUCUCCAUUCUUUUUAUAAGACCCCUUUAAGUAUUGAAAGCUUACAAUGAGUUCUCCCCAGAGCGUUUUCUUCUCCAGGCUGAAUGCUCCCUGCUCUUUCAGCCUUUCUUCAUAGGAGAGGUGCUACAGCCCUCUGACAUCUUUGUGGCCCUCCUCUGGACUCAUUCUAACAGCCCCACAUCUUUCUUGUGCUGGG
This 1248-nucleotide long non-coding RNA is filed under the name Anas platyrhynchos platyrhynchos (common mallard). Its description in RNAcentral is "lncRNA (ENSAPLG00000030860.1)". The record is from RNAcentral. Lineage: Eukaryota; Metazoa; Chordata; Aves; Anseriformes; Anatidae.